AAUUUAAAUUUCGCGCCAACUUUCCCGACCAAGAUGAAUAUGGCGUCUCCCAGGAAGUAUGGCCUCAUUCUGCCGAAAAGUAAGCAGUCGGGAAGUAUUGCGGCUCUGCAGAAGGCUGCUCCUUCAAAUGUGUUUGGAGACGAGAGCGACGAUGAACAUGACAAGCGCACAAUUGAAGAUACGAUCAAAAAAGCAUCGGUCAAAAGUCUCGCCAAAGUUCAGACCCAAAUGAUGAUGAAAAGGGCACUCGACGAAGACGCAAACGUGUUUGAAUAUGACGAAGUUUAUGAUGAGAUGAAAAGUAAGAAAGAAGCCGAGGACAUUGCUAAUAAAGCUGUAAUAAAAGACAGAAAGCCACGUUACAUUGAGAGUCUAAUAAGAAAUGCAGAAGCACGUAAAAAGGAGGAGGAGCGCCGGGCGCAACGAAAAAUACAAAAAGAGCGCGAAGACGAAAAAGAGGAUUUUGGUGAUAAGGAAGCUUUUGUUACCGCAGCGUACAAAAAGAAGAUAGAGCAAAUGCAACAAGAGGAGGAAGAAGCUAAACGAAAGGAGCAGUUAGAAGAAAUGAUGGAUGUGACGAAACAGAAAGACCUGUCAGGCUUCUAUCGCCAUCUUCUAAAGCAGCAAUGUGGCGAGGAGAAAAUUCCAGAUAGAUCUACCAGUGAAACAAGCUUAAUAAAAGACACGAAAAACACCAGUCUGAAACAGUCGUUUGGCGAGCACAGUACAGAACACGGCACAUCUUCUCAGACUAACAUUGCUAGAGUAACUGAACCAGCCUUGAAGACCAGAGGACAGAGCAACGACGACGACCAUGACAACAAUAACAACAACCCUGAUGCCGAUUCAGAAUUCUUCGAAACUAGCAGCGGCGAAGACGAUGCACAGCGAAAGAGCGACGUACAGACAAUAACAGUUUCAUGUACCAAAAUGAGAAAUAAAAGUAGAACGUACCGUAAACGAAAACAUACCAGCGAGUUAAAGAAGGAGAGAGAAAAUACAGCGAAGCAAAAUGAUUCCGACGAUACUGAUGACGACAACAAAAGCUCCAGUCAGUCAGAUUCAGAUCGGAACGAUGACAACGUCAAGAGGCAAACGGUUGCAAAAAAACCCAUAAGACACUUGCAAAAGGACAUUCAUUCCGGCGUACAGGUUAGCGAGCCUCAAUGCAGAAAUCGAGCCCCAAAGGACUGGCGAGAAAUGUUUGAAAAACGAUGCGUGGGAGACAAAUUUGAAGCAGCAAAACAGCGCUAUCUCGCAAGGAAAGCUGCUUGCCAAGGAGCUACUAUACAAUAAAUAGAGCGCACCUUCCGCAUUACCAAAUCACAGAACAUUAGUAGUCGUCACUAAAAGUGAUUAAGUUGAGUUUUAGCGCUUCACUGAGCUCGAUGUGAGCGCCAUCUAUCAGAAGCUUCAUCACAGAGAUCAAAAUUCAUCGAACUAUUUCUUUUGGUCCCUGGCGGAAAGUAAGAAGAAGGCGGUUCUCACCAUGCGUCCAACAUUUUUAAAAAGAAUAACUAAAUUAGAAUAUUUUCGCCGUUCGACCUAUUCUAAAAUAUGGCUCUCAUUCAAGUGUGGACGUAUACCUAGAGGUAAAGCAGUUUCGC
This is a non-coding RNA of Varroa destructor (honeybee mite), 1607 nucleotides long. Lineage: Eukaryota; Metazoa; Arthropoda; Arachnida; Mesostigmata; Varroidae. The record is from RefSeq and is a predicted model, not a curated record.